CCUACGGGGGGCAGCAGUGGGGAAUAUUGGACAAUGGGCGAAAGCCUGAUCCAGCCAUGCCGCGUGUGUGAAGAAGGCCUUCGGGUUGUAAAGCACUUUCAGUGGGGAAGAAAGCCUUGGGGCUAAUACCCUCGAGGAAGGACAUCACCCACAGAAGAAGCACCGGCUAACUCCGUGCCAGCAGCCGCGGUAAUACGGAGGGGUGCGAGCGUUAAUCGGAAUUACUGGGCGUAAAGCGCGCGUAGGCGGUCUGAUAAGCCGGUUGUGAAAGCCCCGGGCUCAACCUGGGAACGGCAUCCGGAACUGUCAGGCUAGAGUGCAGGAGAGGAAGGUAGAAUUCCCGGUGUAGCGGUGAAAUGCGUAGAGAUCGGGAGGAAUACCAGUGGCGAAGGCGGCCUUCUGGACUGACACUGACGCUGAGGUGCGAAAGCGUGGGUAGCAAACAGGAUUAGAUACCCUAGUAGUC
RNAcentral lists this ribosomal RNA (466 nucleotides) under Vreelandella stevensii. RNAcentral describes it as "partial 16S ribosomal RNA". It matches the Rfam family "Bacterial small subunit ribosomal RNA", at positions 338 to 795 of the family's 1533-position model. Lineage: Bacteria; Pseudomonadati; Pseudomonadota; Gammaproteobacteria; Oceanospirillales; Halomonadaceae. The record is from RNAcentral.